Physella acuta is the source of this 316-nucleotide long non-coding RNA. RefSeq lists it as uncharacterized. NCBI's taxonomy places the organism in Eukaryota, Metazoa, Mollusca, Gastropoda, Physidae. The record is from RefSeq and is a predicted model, not a curated record.
AGUUUAAUAGCACUUCACUUCAAUGAAGACAGAGCUGCGCUACUGUUUUAUACUGUAUGUGACUGGAGGAUGUUCCACAUGGAUGCCUGAAAUGUGCAUGUGUGUUGAUCAGCGUGAAUUGAGGAUUAUCCGACACAAUUCUAUACGAUUGUUGACGUAUUGAACAAUUCCAACAAAUAAGUGGAAGACAACUGAAUAUCUUAAGUUCUUGGCAACUGUCUAAUUCACUGGAAACUUGGAACAACCAACUAGAAGAGAUAUUUGACGCAACUUUUACAUACAGGUAGGCUGAAACAAAAUUAUAGAGGGAAGGACA